Molecule: ribosomal RNA, 894 nt
Filed under: Cosmospora stilbosporae
Lineage: Eukaryota; Fungi; Ascomycota; Sordariomycetes; Hypocreales; Nectriaceae
Description: LSU rRNA
Rfam family: Eukaryotic large subunit ribosomal RNA
Source: RNAcentral
GAGCAUAUCAAUAAGCGGAGGAAAAGAAACCAACAGGGAUUGCCCCAGUAACGGCGAGUGAAGCGGCAACAGCUCAAAUUUGAAAUCUGGCCCUCGGGUCCGAGUUGUAAUUUGUAGAGGAUGCUUUUGGUGAGGUGCCUUCCGAGUUCCCUGGAACGGGACGCCAUAGAGGGUGAGAGCCCCGUCUGGUUGGACACCGAGCCUCUGUAAAGCUCCUUCGACGAGUCGAGUAGUUUGGGAAUGCUGCUCUAAAUGGGAGGUAUAUGUCUUCUAAAGCUAAAUACCGGCCAGAGACCGAUAGCGCACAAGUAGAGUGAUCGAAAGAUGAAAAGCACUUUGAAAAGAGGGUUAAAUAGUACGUGAAAUUGUUGAAAGGGAAGCGCUUGUGACCAGACUUGAGCCCGGUUAAUCAUCCAGCCUUCUGGCUGGUGCACUUGGCCGGCUCAGGCCAGCAUCAGUUCGGCGCGGGGGAUAAAGGCUUCGGGAAUGUGGCUCCUCCGGGAGUGUUAUAGCCCGUUGUGUAAUACCCUGUACUGGACUGAGGUUCGCGCAUCUGCAAGGAUGCUGGCGUAAUGGUCAUCAGCGACCCGUCUUGAAACACGGACCAAGGAGUCGUCCUCGUAUGCGAGUGUUCGGGUGUCAAACCCCUACGCGUAAUGAAAGUGAACGCAGGUGAGAGCUUCGGCGCAUCAUCGACCGAUCCUGAUGUUCUCGGACGGAUUUGAGUAAGAGCAUACGGGGCCGGACCCGAAAGAAGGUGAACUAUGCCUGUAUAGGGUGAAGCCAGAGGAAACUCUGGUGGAGGCUCGCAGCGGUUCUGACGUGCAAAUCGAUCGUCAAAUAUGGGCAUGGGGGCGAAAGACUAAUCGAACCUUCUAGUAGCUGGUUUCCGCG